AAAUUGAAGAGUUUGAUCAUGGCUCAGAUUGAACGCUGGCGGCAGGCCUAACACAUGCAAGUCGAGCGGAAACGAGUUAUCUGAACCUUCGGGGAACGAUAACGGCGUCGAGCGGCGGACGGGUGAGUAAUGCCUAGGAAAUUGCCCUGAUGUGGGGGAUAACCAUUGGAAACGAUGGCUAAUACCGCAUAAUGCCUUCGGGCCAAAGAGGGGGACCUUCGGGCCUCUCGCGUCAGGAUAUGCCUAGGUGGGAUUAGCUAGUUGGUGAGGUAAAGGCUCACCAAGGCGACGAUCCCUAGCUGGUCUGAGAGGAUGAUCAGCCACACUGGAACUGAGACACGGUCCAGACUCCUACGGGAGGCAGCAGUGGGGAAUAUUGCACAAUGGGCGCAAGCCUGAUGCAGCCAUGCCGCGUGUGUGAAGAAGGCCUUCGGGUUGUAAAGCACUUUCAGUCGUGAGGAAGGCGGUAUAGUUAAUAGCUGUAUUGUUUGACGUUAGCGACAGAAGAAGCACCGGCUAACUCCGUGCCAGCAGCCGCGGUAAUACGGAGGGUGCGAGCGUUAAUCGGAAUUACUGGGCGUAAAGCGCAUGCAGGUGGUUUGUUAAGUCAGAUGUGAAAGCCCGGGGCUCAACCUCGGAA
RNAcentral lists this non-coding RNA (640 nucleotides) under Vibrio sp. AND4. Its description in RNAcentral is "bacterial SSU rRNA". It matches the Rfam family "Bacterial small subunit ribosomal RNA", at positions 1 to 620 of the family's 1533-position model. Lineage: Bacteria; Pseudomonadati; Pseudomonadota; Gammaproteobacteria; Vibrionales; Vibrionaceae. The record is from RNAcentral.